UGGGGAAUUUUGCACAAUGGGGGAAACCCUGAUGCAGCGACGCCGCGUGAUUUAGAAGGCCUUCGGGUUGUAAAAAUCUUUUCUAUGGGAAGAAAAUGACAGUACCAUAGGAAUAAGGACCGGCUCAUUACGUGCCAGCAGCCGCGGUAAUACGUAAGGUCCGAGCGUUGUCCGGAAUCAUUGGGCGUAAAGGGUACGUAGGCGGGUAAGCAAGUUAGAAGUGAAAUCCUAUAGCUCAACUAUAGUAAGCUUUUAAAACUGCUCAUCUUGAGGUAUGGAAGGGAAAGUGGAAUUCCUAGUGUAGCGGUGAAAUGCGCAGAUAUUAGGAAGAAUACCGGUGGCGAAGGCGACUUUCUGGCCAUAACCUGACGCUGAGGUACGAAAGCGUGGGUAGCAAACAGG
Molecule: ribosomal RNA, 402 nt
Filed under: bacterium
Lineage: Bacteria
Description: partial 16S ribosomal RNA
Rfam family: Bacterial small subunit ribosomal RNA
Source: RNAcentral